UUUAUUGGAGAGUUUGAUCCUGGCUCAGGAUGAACGCUGGCGGCGUGCCUAAUACAUGCAAGUCGAGCGAAUGGAUUAAGAGCUUGCUCUUAUGAAGUUAGCGGCGGACGGGUGAGUAACACGUGGGUAACCUGCCCAUAAGACUGGGAUAACUCCGGGAAACCGGGGCUAAUACCGGAUAACAUUUUGAACCGCAUGGUUCGAAAUUGAAAGGCGGCUUCGGCUGUCACUUAUGGAUGGACCCGCGUCGCAUUAGCUAGUUGGUGAGGUAACGGCUC
RNAcentral lists this ribosomal RNA (278 nucleotides) under Bacillus cereus. RNAcentral describes it as "partial 16S ribosomal RNA". It matches the Rfam family "Bacterial small subunit ribosomal RNA", at positions 1 to 266 of the family's 1533-position model. The record is from RNAcentral. Lineage: Bacteria; Bacillati; Bacillota; Bacilli; Caryophanales; Bacillaceae.